RNAcentral lists this ribosomal RNA (303 nucleotides) under uncultured bacterium. Its description in RNAcentral is "partial 16S ribosomal RNA". It matches the Rfam family "Bacterial small subunit ribosomal RNA", at positions 507 to 807 of the family's 1533-position model. The record is from RNAcentral.
AGCAGUAGCCGCGGGAAUACGGAGGGUGCAAGCGUUAAUCGGAAUUACUGGGCGUAAAGCGCACGCAGGCGGUCUGACAAGUCAGAUGUGAAAUCCCCGGGCUUAACCUGGGAACUGCAUUUGAAACUGUCAGGCUGGAGUCUUGUAGAGGGGGGUAGAAUUCCAGGUGUAGCGGUGAAAUGCGUAGAGAUCUGGAGGAAUACCGGUGGCGAAGGCGGCCCCCUGGACAGAGACUGACGCUCAGGUGCGAAAGCGUGGGGAGCAAACAGGAUUAGAUACCCCUGUAGUCCCUGUCUCUUAUAC